This 254-nucleotide ribosomal RNA is filed under the name uncultured bacterium. Its description in RNAcentral is "partial 16S ribosomal RNA". It matches the Rfam family "Bacterial small subunit ribosomal RNA", at positions 524 to 776 of the family's 1533-position model. The record is from RNAcentral.
UACGAGGGGGGCAAGCGUUGUUCGGAAUUAUUGGGCGUAAAGGGUGCGUAGGCGGUUUGGUAAGUCUUAUGUGAAAUCUACAGGCUCAACUUGUAGUCUGCAUGAGAAACUGCCGGGCUUGAGUAUGGGAGAGGUGAGUGGAAUUCCUGGUGUAGCGGUGAAAUGCGUAGAUAUCAGGAGGAACACCUGUGGCGAAAGCGGCUCACUGGACCAUAACUGACGCUGAUGCACGAAAGCUAGGGGGAGCAAACAGG